GUGACUGCGUACCUUUUGUAUAAUGGGUCAGCGACUUAUAUUUAGUAGCAAGGUUAAGCGAAUAGCGGAGCCGUAGCGAAAGCGAGUGUUAACUGCGCGUUUAGUUGCUAGGUAUAGACCCGAAACCCGGUGAUCUAGCCAUGGGCAGGUUGAAGGUUGAGUAACAUCAACUGGAGGACCGAACCCACUAACGUUGAAAAGUUAGGGGAUGACUUGUGGCUGGGGGUGAAAGGCCAAUCAAACCGGGAGAUAGCUGGUUCUCCCCGAAAUCUAUUUAGGUAGAGCCUCGGACGAAUUCCAUUGGGGGUAGAGCACUGUUAAGGCUAGGGGGUCAUCCCGACUUACCAACCCUUUGCAAACUCCGAAUACCAAUGAGAACUAUCCGGGAGACACACGGCGGGUGCUAACGUCCGUCGUGAAGAGGGAAACAACCCAGACCGCCAGCUAAGGUCCCAAAAUAUUGCUAAGUGGGAAACGAUGUGGGAAGGCAUAGACAGCUAGGAGGUUGGCUUAGAAGCAGCCACCCUUUAAAGAAAGCGUAAUAGCUCACUAGUCGAGUCGGCCUGCGCGGAAGAUGUAACGGGGCUAAGCAAUAUACCGAAGCUGCGGAUACGUGUUUACACGUAUGGUAGGGGAGCGUUGUGUAAGUGGAUGAAGGUGGAUUGAGAAGUCUGCUGGACAUAUCACAAGUGCGAAUGCUGACAUGAGUAACGAUAAUGGGAGUGAAAAACUCCCACGCCGGAAGACCAAGGUUUCCUGUCCCAUGCUAAUCAGGGCAGGGUAAGUCGGCCCCUAAGGCGAGGCAGAAAUGCGUAGUCGAUGGGAAACGGAUUAAUAUUUCCGUACUUAUAUAAUCAGUGAUGGAGGGACGGAGAAGGCUAAGCAAGCUUGGCGUUGGUUGUCCAAGUGAAAGCAAGUAGGCCGAGUGUUUAGGUAAAUCCGGAC
Molecule: ribosomal RNA, 945 nt
Filed under: Alteromonas stellipolaris
Lineage: Bacteria; Pseudomonadati; Pseudomonadota; Gammaproteobacteria; Alteromonadales; Alteromonadaceae
Description: partial 23S ribosomal RNA
Rfam family: Bacterial large subunit ribosomal RNA
Source: RNAcentral